UGUGGAGCGUAUCGAGGGUGAGUUGGCGGAGCUGCUGGCUCCGGUGACGCCUCGUUCCUGUGAGGUGCCGUUCUAUUCGACGGUCUCCGG
This 90-nucleotide transfer RNA is filed under the name Streptomyces capillispiralis. Its description in RNAcentral is "tRNA-Ser". The record is from RNAcentral. Lineage: Bacteria; Bacillati; Actinomycetota; Actinomycetes; Kitasatosporales; Streptomycetaceae.